RNAcentral lists this ribosomal RNA (459 nucleotides) under uncultured bacterium. RNAcentral's name for it is "partial 16S ribosomal RNA". It matches the Rfam family "Bacterial small subunit ribosomal RNA", at positions 338 to 795 of the family's 1533-position model. The record is from RNAcentral.
CCUACGGGAGGCAGCAGUGAGGAAUAUUGGUCAAUGGCCGCAGGGCUGAACCAGCCAAGUCGCGUGAGGGAUGACGGUCCUAUGGAUUGUAAACCUCUUUUGUCAGGGAGCAAAGGGCGCCACGUGUGGCGUUUUGCGAGUACCUGAAGAAAAAGCAUCGGCUAACUCCGUGCAAGCAGCCGCGGUAAUACGGAGGAUGCGAGCGUUAUCCGGAUUUAGUGGGUUUAAAGGGUGCGCAGGCGGAAUGUCAAGUCAGCGGUGAAAUUUCGGGGCUCAACCCCGUCGUGCCGUUGAAACUGGCGUUCUUGAGUGAGCGAGAGGUAUGCGGAAUGCGUGGUGUAGCGGUGAAAUGCAUAGAUAUCACGCAGAACUCCGAUUGCGAAGGCAGCAUACCGGCGCUCAACUGACGCUCAUGCACGAAAGCGUGGGUAUCGAACAGGAUUAGAUACCCCAGUAGUC